RNAcentral lists this ribosomal RNA (386 nucleotides) under Pseudomonas aeruginosa. Its description in RNAcentral is "partial 23S ribosomal RNA". It matches the Rfam family "Bacterial large subunit ribosomal RNA", at positions 582 to 969 of the family's 2925-position model. Lineage: Bacteria; Pseudomonadati; Pseudomonadota; Gammaproteobacteria; Pseudomonadales; Pseudomonadaceae. The record is from RNAcentral.
CGCUUAGGCGUGUGACUGCGUACCUUUUGUAUAAUGGGUCAGCGACUUAUAUUCUGUAGCAAGGUUAACCGAAUAGGGGAGCCGAAGGGAAACCGAGUCUUAACUGGGCGUUAAGUUGCAGGGUAUAGACCCGAAACCCGGUGAUCUAGCCAUGGGCAGGUUGAAGGUUGGGUAACACUAACUGGAGGACCGAACCGACUAAUGUUGAAAAAUUAGCGGAUGACUUGUGGCUGGGGGUGAAAGGCCAAUCAAACCGGGAGAUAGCUGGUUCUCCCCGAAAGCUAUUUAGGUAGCGCCUCGUGAAUUCAUCUCCGGGGGUAGAGCACUGUUUCGGCUAGGGGGUCAUCCCGACUUACCAAACCGAUGCAAACUACGAAUACCGAAUA